GAUGAACGCUGGCGGCGUGCCUAAUACAUGCAGGUCGAGCGAACGGACGAGAAGCUUGCUUUUCUGAUGUUAGCGGCGGACGGGUGAGUAACACGUGGAUAACCUACCUAUAAGACUGGGAUAACUUCGGGAAACCGGAGCUAAUACCGGAUAAUAUUUUGAACCGCAUGGUUCAAAAGUGAAAGACGGUCUUGCUGUCACUUAUAGAUGGAUCCGCGCUGCAUUAGCUAGUUGGUAAGGUAACGGCUUACCAAGGCAACGAUGCAUAGCCGACCUGAGAGGGUGAUCGGCCACACUGGAACUGAGACACGGUCCAGACUCCUACGGGAGGCAGCAGUAGGGAAUCUUCCACAAUGGGCGAAAGCCUGACGGAGCAACGCCGCGUGAGUGAUGAAGGUCUUCGGAUCGUAAAACUCUGUUAUUAGGGAAGAACAUAUGUGUAAGUAACUGUGCACAUCUUGACGGUACCUAAUCAGAAAGCCACGGCUAACUACGUG
This 497-nucleotide ribosomal RNA is filed under the name uncultured bacterium. RNAcentral describes it as "partial 16S ribosomal RNA". It matches the Rfam family "Bacterial small subunit ribosomal RNA", at positions 28 to 507 of the family's 1533-position model. The record is from RNAcentral.